Molecule: ribosomal RNA, 392 nt
Filed under: uncultured bacterium
Lineage: Bacteria
Description: bacterial SSU rRNA
Rfam family: Bacterial small subunit ribosomal RNA
Source: RNAcentral
UACGUCGGGUGCGAGCGUUAAUCGGAAUUACUGGGCGUAAAGCGUGCGCAGGCGGUUCGUCAAGUCUGAUGUGAAAGCCCCGGGCUCAACCUGGGAACUGCGUUUGAAACUACAAGGCUAGAGUGUGGCAGAGGGGGGUGGAAUUCCACGUGUAGCAGUGAAAUGCGUAGAGAUGUGGAGGAACACCGAUGGCGAAGGCAGCCCCCUGGGUUAACACUGACGCUCAGGCACGAAAGCGUGGGGAGCAAACAGGAUUAGAUACCCUGGUAGUCCACGCCCUAAACGAUGUCAACUAGUUGUCGGGUCUUAACGGACUUGGUAACGUAGCUAACGCGUGAAGUUGACCGCCUGGGGAGUACGGUCGCAAGAUUAAAACUCAAAUGAAUUGACGG